UACGGAGGGUGUAAACGUUGCUCGGAAUCAUUGGGCGUAAAGCGCACGUAGGCGGCCUGGUAAGUUGGAUGUGAAAGCCCGGGGCUCAACCCCGGAAGUGCACCCAAAACUGCUAGGCUAGAAUCUCGGAGGGGGUCGGAGAAUUCCCGGUGUAGAGGUGAAAUUCGUAGAUAUCGGGAGGAAUACCAGUGGCGAAGGCGCCGACCUGGACGAUGAUUGACGCUGAGGUGCGAAAGCAUGGGGAGCGAACAGG
RNAcentral lists this ribosomal RNA (253 nucleotides) under uncultured bacterium. Its description in RNAcentral is "partial 16S ribosomal RNA". It matches the Rfam family "Bacterial small subunit ribosomal RNA", at positions 524 to 776 of the family's 1533-position model. The record is from RNAcentral.